Molecule: ribosomal RNA, 497 nt
Filed under: uncultured bacterium
Lineage: Bacteria
Description: partial 16S ribosomal RNA
Rfam family: Bacterial small subunit ribosomal RNA
Source: RNAcentral
GACGAACGCUGGCGGCGUGCCUAAUACAUGCAAGUUGAGCGAUGAAGAUUGGUGCUUGCACCAAUUUGAAGAGCAGCGAACGGGUGAGUAACGCGUGGGGAAUCUGCCUUUGAGCGGGGGACAACAUUUGGAAACGAAUGCUAAUACCGCAUAAUAACUUUAAACAUAAGUUUUAAGUUUGAAAGAUGCAAUUGCAUCACUCAAAGAUGAUCCCGCGUUGUAUUAGCUAGUUGGUGAGGUAAAGGCUCACCAAGGCGAUGAUACAUAGCCGACCUGAGAGGGUGAUCGGCCACAUUGGGACUGAGACACGGCCCAAACGCCUACGGGAGGCAGCAGUAGGGAAUCUUCGGCAAUGGACGAAAGUCUGACCGAGCAACGCCGCGUGAGUGAAGAAGGUUGUCGGAUCGUAAAACUCUGUUGGUAGAGAAGAACGUUGGUGAGAGUGGAAAGCUCAUCAAGUGACGGUAACUACCCAGAAAGGGACGGCUAACUACGUG